RNAcentral lists this transfer RNA (73 nucleotides) under Planctomycetes bacterium RBG_16_64_12. Its description in RNAcentral is "tRNA-Lys". It matches the Rfam family "tRNA". Rfam says of the family: Transfer RNA (tRNA) molecules are approximately 80 nucleotides in length. Their secondary structure includes four short double-helical elements and three loops (D, anti-codon, and T loops). Further hydrogen bonds mediate the characteristic L-shaped molecular structure. tRNAs have two regions of fundamental functional importance: the anti-codon, which is responsible for specific mRNA codon recognition, and the 3' end, to which the tRNAs corresponding amino acid is attached (by aminoacyl-tRNA synthetases). tRNAs cope with the degeneracy of the genetic code in two manners: having more than one tRNA (with a specific anti-codon) for a particular amino acid; and 'wobble' base-pairing, i.e. permitting non-standard base-pairing at the 3rd anti-codon position. Lineage: Bacteria; Pseudomonadati; Planctomycetota. RNAcentral also lists the same sequence under 1 other name. The record is from RNAcentral.
GAGGCUGUAGCUCAGUCGGUAGAGCAACGGACUUUUAAUCCGUAGGUCUGGGGUUCGAGUCCCCACAGCCUCA